This 468-nucleotide ribosomal RNA is filed under the name uncultured bacterium. Its description in RNAcentral is "partial 16S ribosomal RNA". It matches the Rfam family "Bacterial small subunit ribosomal RNA", at positions 28 to 507 of the family's 1533-position model. The record is from RNAcentral.
GACGAACGCUGGCGGCGUGCUUAACACAUGCCAGUCGAACGGAAAGGCCCUGCUUUUGUGGGGUGCUCGAGUGGCGAACGGGUGAGUAACACGUGAGUAACCUGCCCUUGACUUUGGGAUAACUUCAGGAAACUGGGGCUAAUACCGGAUAGGAGCUCCUGCUGCAUGGUGGGGGUUGGAAAGUUUCGGCGGUUGGGGAUGGACUCGCGGCUUAUCAGCUUGUUGGUGGGGUAGUGGCUUACCAAGGCUUUGACGGGUAGCCGGCCUGAGAGGGUGACCGGCCACAUUGGGACUGAGAUACGGCCCAGACUCCUACGGGAGGCAUCAGUGGGGAAUAUUGCACAAUGGGCGGAAGCCUGAUGCAGCAACGCCGCGUGCGGGAUGACGGCCUUCGGGUUGUAAACCGCUUUCGCCUGUGACGAAGCGUGAGUGACGGUAAUGGGUAAAGAAGCACCGGCUAACUACGUG